UGCAUCUAUUUGGCAAAUCUGGAGUAGUUACUGUCUGCUGCUAAGAUUUCCACUAUAGACGUAAGGAAAAAGUGCUUUUAUGAUUUUGUCUGUCUCACCGUGGCAGCCAAGAUUGAAAGGGGAAUACAAGA
RNAcentral lists this small nucleolar RNA (131 nucleotides) under Propithecus coquereli (Coquerel's sifaka). Its description in RNAcentral is "Small nucleolar RNA SNORA31 (ENSPCOG00000006550.1)". The record is from RNAcentral. Lineage: Eukaryota; Metazoa; Chordata; Mammalia; Primates; Indriidae.